AUGCAGAAACGCCACGAGUCGUCGGACUUGCAAACAAGGUUGACCUUCCUCGUUGCAGCGGCGUGUUUGCUGGCAGGAUCAGUCCGUAAUGCAUACCACACCCGGUACAGGGGGAUCUUCAACGGUGACCCACUCUCUUGCGAGACGCUGCGCAAGGGUGUAUUUGCUGCUGGUGCAGCCUUCACCUUCUUCACGGCCAUCCUGAGCGAGUUCUAUUACAUCAGCUACUCCCAAUCCCGGGAUGCCGCUGGUGACACUCCAUACGGCGGCUCCAGUAUCGGCAUGGGCCCUUACAAUUAA
Molecule: ribosomal RNA, 300 nt
Filed under: Triticum aestivum (bread wheat)
Lineage: Eukaryota; Viridiplantae; Streptophyta; Magnoliopsida; Poales; Poaceae
Description: partial small subunit ribosomal RNA
Source: RNAcentral